AAUAGUAUAUGACACCCUGAGCUUGCCCAAUCUCAUCUGAUGUUGGAAGCUAAGCAGGAUCGGGCCUGGUUAGUACUUGGGUGGGUGACUGCCUAGGAAUACCAGGUCCUGGGAAUUU
RNAcentral lists this ribosomal RNA (118 nucleotides) under Amphilophus citrinellus (Midas cichlid). Lineage: Eukaryota; Metazoa; Chordata; Actinopteri; Cichliformes; Cichlidae. The record is from RNAcentral.